This is a long non-coding RNA of Daphnia carinata, 649 nucleotides long. RefSeq lists it as uncharacterized. Lineage: Eukaryota; Metazoa; Arthropoda; Branchiopoda; Diplostraca; Daphniidae. The record is from RefSeq and is a predicted model, not a curated record. The transcript has 4 exons.
CGCGAACUCAAGUGCACGUCAGCGAGAAACUGUGUGGUCGAAUCAUCGAUUCUUGUCAGCCAGAUUUAGGGAGGGAGAAGAAAAAGAAAAAUGCCCAAAAGCUCAUGGAAAAUUGAAGAGACGAGAGGUCGACGGGAUCGAACUUGGAGGGAUUGGCAGCCCAAGUCGAAUUGUGCAAGAUACAGCUGCUUGAUUGCGUGCCCAACGUGCCGAUUGGAUGUGUCCCGAUGCCCGAUUUAUGACUGCCGCUCCGUACCGACCAGAGUGCUCCCUACAGUUUACUCACGGUGAUUGAAAAGUUAGAAGUCGCAGGAAUGGCAUCGAAGCAAGCCCAUCCGCACGGCCGCUUAAGUUUCUCGCUACUUUGGAUAAUAGACACGAGGAGGUGGUAGAAUGACCGUCAUGUCGGAGCGCCUCAUCAUCAUCACGAUUGCACGAGGUGGCUGCAACCGUUGAGGCUGCAACAGCAGCUGGUUAGUAGUUAUUGUCGACAAGAUUUUUUCUCUUUCGUUUUUUUUUUUUUUUUGUGUGGAGUCAUCGGGUGUGUCCCCUCUUGUCUUCGUUCCUUUUUUUUCUCCCUUCAACGACGUGGAUAACAGACAGAACCUGAGAGUUGAAAGACGAACAACACAAAACAUAAUAGACAAAA